ACGAGUUCCCUUUCUGCUUCCAUCUCGUCCUUUCACCAACUCAUGAAGUUUGUGGCUUUUGUGUAGGGUUUUCACUAAACUUAACAGAGCAGACUUUACGAAGGCGAGGCAAGAGAAGCGUAUUGUUCCUGCGUCUCUCUCUCUAUGGCACCAUGUCUCUCCAUCUCCCUACUGGCUUUGUCAAUGGUAGAGAACUGAACGAGUGAUGAAGCCCAUAGGAGGUAUGCGACUGGAUUAAGCGAAUAGAGGUCGUGGAGGCUGGAGUAAGAGAACCGCGGCUUGAGGCGGAGGCGGAGGCUCUGGUAGCGGCGGCUGGAGGCGGAGGCUCUGGUAGCGGCGGCGUAGGCUUAGGUUUAGAUUAAGGUUAAUUAUGUUUUGGCUAGUUAGAUUUUGGUUUAAUGUUUUUAAUUAGUUUUUGGUUUAUUGUUAUCGAUCAGUUUCAGUUUAAUGUGCUCUUUAAUUAUUUGUAUACUGAUUUGAUUAAUAAAUAAAAUUUAAUUUUAAUUA
This is a long non-coding RNA of Raphanus sativus (radish), 507 nucleotides long. RefSeq lists it as uncharacterized. Lineage: Eukaryota; Viridiplantae; Streptophyta; Magnoliopsida; Brassicales; Brassicaceae. The transcript has 2 exons. The record is from RefSeq and is a predicted model, not a curated record.